RNAcentral lists this ribosomal RNA (662 nucleotides) under Hepatozoon canis. RNAcentral's name for it is "SSU rRNA". It matches the Rfam family "Eukaryotic small subunit ribosomal RNA", at positions 167 to 817 of the family's 1831-position model. Lineage: Eukaryota; Apicomplexa; Hepatozoidae. The record is from RNAcentral.
AUACAUGAGCAAAAUCUCAACUUUAUUAGAAGAGACGCAUUUAUUAGAUAAAAAGCCAAUGCAUGCUUUUACAGUAUGGAAAUUGGUGAUUUAUAAUAACUUGGCAAAUCGCAAAGUGAAAACAGGCGAUAAAUCAUUCAAGUUUCUGACCUAUCAGCUUUCGACGGUAUGGUAUUGGCUUACCGUGGCAGUGACGGUUAACGGGGGAUUAGGGUUCGAUUCCGGAGAGGGAGCCUGAGAAACGGCUACCACAUCUAAGGAAGGCAGCAGGCGCGCAAAUUACCCAAUUCUAACAGUUUGAGAGAGGUAGUAACAAGAAAUAACAAUACAAGGCAAUUAAAAUGCUUUGUAAUUGGAAUGAUAGAAAUUUAAACCCUUUUUAAAGUAUCAAUUGGAGGGCAAGUCUGGUGCCAGCAGCCGCGGUAAUUCCAGCUCCAAUAGCGUAUAUUAAAAUUGUUGCAGUUAAAAAGCUCGUAGUUGAAGUUCUGCUAAAAGUAACCGGUCUGCUUUUAAUAAAAGUGGUAUCUUGGUGUGUAUUUAGCAAUGAUGUCCUUUGAAGUGUUUUUUACUUUAUUGUAAUAAAGCAUAUUCAGGACUUUUACUUUGAGAAAAUUAGAGUGUUUCUAGCAGGCCGACGCUUUGAAUACUGCAGCAUGGAAUAA